This 492-nucleotide ribosomal RNA is filed under the name uncultured bacterium. Its description in RNAcentral is "partial 16S ribosomal RNA". It matches the Rfam family "Bacterial small subunit ribosomal RNA", at positions 29 to 507 of the family's 1533-position model. The record is from RNAcentral.
AGUGAACGCUGGCGGUAGGCCUAACACAUGCAAGUCGAACGGCAGCACAGUAGGAGCUUGCUCUUACGGGUGGCGAGUGGCGGACGGGUGAGGAAUACAUCGGAAUCUACUUUUUCGUGGGGGAUAACGUAGGGAAACUUACGCUAAUACCGCAUACGACCUACGGGUGAAAGCAGGGGAUCUUCGGACCUUGCGCGAUUGAAUGAGCCGAUGUCGGAUUAGCUAGUUGGCGGGGUAAAGGCCCACCAAGGCGACGAUCCGUAGCUGGUCUGAGAGGAUGAUCAGCCACACUGGAACUGAGACACGGUCCAGACUCCUACGGGAGGCAGCAGUGGGGAAUCUUGGACAAUGGGCGCAAGCCUGAUCCAGCAAUACCGCGUGGGUGAAGAAGGCCUUCGGGUUGUAAAGCCCUUUUGUUGGGAAAGAAAAGCAGCAGGUUAAUCCCCCGCUGUUCUGACGGUACCCAAAGAAUAAGCACCGGCUAACUUCGUG